This 839-nucleotide ribosomal RNA is filed under the name uncultured archaeon. RNAcentral describes it as "bacterial SSU rRNA". It matches the Rfam family "Archaeal small subunit ribosomal RNA", at positions 39 to 899 of the family's 1478-position model. The record is from RNAcentral.
UUCGAUUAAGACAUGCGAGUCUGAGCACUAGCUCGGCGUACCGCUCAGUAACACGUGGGUAACCUGCCCUACUGUUCGGAAUAACCUCGGGAAACUGAGAACAAUGCCGAAUAGUCCACCACGCCUGGAACGGUGGGUGGAUGAAGGUAGGAUGGGCCUGCGGCGUAUCAGGUUGUAGGGGGUGUAAUGGACCUCCUAGCCAUCGACGCGUACGGGUGUUGGGAGACAUAGCCCGGAGAUGGAUUCUGAGACACGAAUCCAGGCCCUACGGGGCGCAGCAGUUACGAAAACUUGGCAAUGCGGGAAACCGUGACCAGGGAACUCCAAGUGAGUCUCUUUUAGGGGCUCUUUUCUUGACUCUAAAACGGUCUUGGAAUAAGGGGUGGGUAAGGACGGUGCCAGCCGCCGCGGUAAUACCGGCGCCUCAAGUGGUCGUCGCUUUUAUUGGGCCUAAAACGUCCGUAGCCGGUUUGGUACAUUCGUGGGUAAAUCAGCUCGCUCAACGAGUUGAAUUCUGCGAGGACGGCCAGACUAGGGACCGGGAGAGGUGUGGGGAACUCUCAGGGUAGGGGUAAAAUCCUGUCAUCCUGAGAGGACCACCUGUUGCGAAGGCGCCACACUAGAACGGAUCCGACGGUCAGGGACGAAGCCUAGGGGCACGAACCGGAUUAGAUACCCGGGUAGUCCUAGGUGUAAACGCUGUGGACUUGGUGUUGGGGAAGCCCAGAGCUUUCCCAGUGCCGUAGCGAAGGUGUUGAGUCCACUGCCUGGGGAGUACGGUCGCAAGGCUGAAACUUAAAGGAAUUGGCGGGGGAGCACUGCAACCGGAGGAUUGUGCG